UAGACUCCAGACUCCAGAUUCAGGUAU
Molecule: small RNA, 27 nt
Filed under: Bombyx mori (domestic silkworm)
Lineage: Eukaryota; Metazoa; Arthropoda; Insecta; Lepidoptera; Bombycidae
Description: ovarian small RNA-21961
Source: RNAcentral